AACAACUUUGUCAACAAACAGCUGAUGUGACGGAACAAGUCAAAAGCUUGAAUGAAAAGUUCGACAAAUUUCUAGAGAGGUGUGAUUCCAAGAGAUAUGAAGUUACCUUCAGGAAUUUGGAUACACAAAUGGAUGAGAUUGUUGAUGAGGAGAAGGUGGAGAGAGAAGUGGAAAAGAUAGAAGAGGAGAAAAUAGAGGAAGAUGAAGCAUAAAGGUUGAGUGAGGGAGAGAAAGAUGAGGAGAAAUAAAAAACAGUGGUUGAGAAAAAAAGAAAAAAAUAAGAAAAUAAGAAAAAAGAAAAAAAGAAAGUGGAAGAAGGAGAAGGUUGACAAAAAGAGGAAGAAAGGAAAGAAGAAAAUAUCAUAUGAAAAGCCCCUUCCUCAUAAAAAGAAAAUUAAUAGGAAGGAAAAAAAGUUCAAGUACUGUAUGUAGAUCUUCAAGAAAUUGGAGACCAAAAUUCCUAUGAUUGAAACAUGGAAACCGGUGCUUGGUUUGAUCAACUUUUUGAAGAGAUUCAGUAGGAAGAAGAAAAAGAAGAAAAUAACAAGCAAAAGGAGUAUCAACGCCUACUGAUGGGUGUUUGAACUCUAAUGGGUCAAGCUAAUGACGUUAAAAGAGCACUAACUAGGAGGCACCCCAGUGAUUGUUGUAUACUAUUUUUCUUUUAGUUGGAUUUGUAAAUAUUGGUAUUUUUGAACAUUUUUUUUUGGGUAGCAUCUACU
This 722-nucleotide long non-coding RNA is filed under the name Vigna radiata. Its description in RNAcentral is "long non-coding RNA (VRAD_LNC011444)". Lineage: Eukaryota; Viridiplantae; Streptophyta; Magnoliopsida; Fabales; Fabaceae. The record is from RNAcentral.